Molecule: ribosomal RNA, 893 nt
Filed under: Phragmidium tuberculatum
Lineage: Eukaryota; Fungi; Basidiomycota; Pucciniomycetes; Pucciniales; Phragmidiaceae
Description: eukaryotic LSU rRNA
Rfam family: Eukaryotic large subunit ribosomal RNA
Source: RNAcentral
GAAACUAACCAGGAUUCCCCUAGUAACGGCGAGUGAAGAGGGAAAAGCCCAAAUUUGUAAUCUGGCUCUUUCAGAGUCCGAGUUGUAAUUUUAAGAACUGUUUUCCGUGCUGGACCAUUUCUAAGUCUGUUGAAAAAUAGCAUCAUUGAGGGUGAUAAUCCCGUUCAUGAUAUGGACUGCCAGUGCAAUGUGAUACAGUUUCUAAGAGUCGAGUUGUUUGGGAAUGCAGCUCAAAGUGGGUGGUAAAUUCCAUCUAAGGCUAAAUAUAGGUGAGAGACCGAUAGCAUACAAGUACCGUGAGGGAAAGAUGAAAAGAACUUUGGAAAGAGAGUUAACAGUACGUGAAAUUGUUGUAAGGGAAACAAUUAAAGUUAGCCUUGUGCUUGUUAGUUCAGCUCUUUAACUAGGGUGUAUUCUAACAAUGUCACGGACCAACAUCAGUUUUUGGGUGCUGGAUAAGGGCUCCGGAAAUGUAGCAGUCUCGGCUGUGUUAUAGUCCGGGGUUUGGAUACAGUGCCUGGGACUGAGGAGAUCUGCAGCAAGCCAGUCAAAUGGCCGCCCUUUUUAAGGGCUCCCCUGCUGAGGAUGUUGGUGUCAAUAGCUUUAACUGACCCGUCUUGAAACACGGACCAAGGAGUCUAACAUGCUUGCGAGUAUUUGGGUGUUGAAACCCUGAUGCGAAAUUAACGUAAAUGUAAAUGGGAUCCUUUAUUGGUGCACCAUUGACCAGUCCUGAUUAUUUAUAUGAAGGUACUGAGUAAGAGCAAGUAUGUUGGGACCCGAAAGAUGGUGAACUAUGCCUGAAUAGGGUGAAGCCAGAGGAAACUCUGGUGGAAGCUCGUAGCGAUUCUGACGUGCAAAUCGAUCGUCGAAUUUGGGUAUAGGGGCGAAAG